GCCGCUUUAGCUCAGUUGGCAGAGCAACGCAUUCGUAAUGCGUAGGUCCGGGGUUCGAAUCCCCGAAGCGGCUCCA
This 76-nucleotide transfer RNA is filed under the name Mycobacteriales bacterium. Its description in RNAcentral is "Corynebacteriales bacterium (soil metagenome) tRNA-Thr". It matches the Rfam family "tRNA". Rfam says of the family: Transfer RNA (tRNA) molecules are approximately 80 nucleotides in length. Their secondary structure includes four short double-helical elements and three loops (D, anti-codon, and T loops). Lineage: Bacteria; Bacillati; Actinomycetota; Actinomycetes; Mycobacteriales. The record is from RNAcentral.